This 1499-nucleotide long non-coding RNA is filed under the name Salmo salar (Atlantic salmon). Its description in RNAcentral is "lncRNA (ENSSSAG00000097291.1, ENSSSAG00020081619.1, ENSSSAG00075055162.1)". The record is from RNAcentral. Lineage: Eukaryota; Metazoa; Chordata; Actinopteri; Salmoniformes; Salmonidae.
CAUAGCUACCUCAAUUACCUCGUACCCCUGCACAUCAACUCGAGAGAGCCAGAACAGAACAUGGCGACACUGGGGUGAUGAGGUGUGGUGGUGGUGGCUGAUAUCAGAUGGAUCCUGACGCCUAAAUGGCGCUCAUUUGAUGGUGCUCUCUGAUGAUGCGUCACAUGCUACAGUACUUCAUUAUAGUGAAGCUGGACAGCGCUCGCGGUUCAUUAAAAAGCAAUAUGUGGAGGUGUGAUUGGCCAUUUCCUGCAGAUAAGUAUCUCCUCAUACAUUUAAAGAAGACAGCCGGACUAGACUGGAUCGUGGAUUCUCUUCAGCUGCAAUGUUGGGGGCAAACAGAGGAUGGCUGUGGAGAGGGCAACUGGGGAUCUUUGUCCGGUACUGCAUGAAGAAGGAUGAGACACACACUUCCUGGUCGUGUAGUCCAGUGAGGGAGAUGUGGAAAACAGAAUGUCACGUGUAGAAUCUUCAAGUAGCUUUGAAAUCAGAGAGCGGUAGUUAGAUGUCAAAGAAAGAGGGUAGACUGAUCCAACGUGCCACUACAUCAAGUGUUUGAGAAGACGGACAAGGCCAUCAUUGAUCCUGUCAAGUUCUCAUUUCUCUUGAAUAGCUGUCCAUUGAACGAAGUUAGAAUAAAACUGUCCUGUGUAGCCUCAUAAUGGCCCGUCUCCUCUUGAGAGGAGAGAUGAAGAGACUUGAUUGAUGCUAAGAGGCCUAGUCUCAAUCAUAUUGUUGACCUCCAUCUCUUACCAGUCUCCCUGACACAGUCUCACUCCUUUCUGAGACAAAGCACUCUCUACCUCCCCAAACCCCAGCCAAUUGAUUGGCCCGCCAACUCCAGAAGGCCCCAUUUGAAUGAGCUCCAACCCACUGGCACAGCCUCCUGUAAUGCCUAAUGAUGGACUAAUUCCGCAACCCUGUGGAAUUCCAGAAUCCCAAUCAUGCUCCAAAGAACCAUAUUGGCCAAUUAAAAUGGGUAAGCUUGUUCAGAGCCAAAGAUAGCCAUUCAUGGUAAGGGAGAGAAGGGUUGCGUUCGGUUGGACCUGUCUCUGUUCUAUUCAUGCACCCCAUCCAUUACUGAGCUCCACCAAACAGAUUUGCUUUUGGCACAAAUGUCGGUGCUGGAUGGAUGGAUUUUAGUUAUGUGGUCCUGGUAGUCAAUGCUUAUAUGGGACUGUUUUGUUUCAAUGCGUUUGUGCUCUGUCUGUAGCCUAGAACAUGCAAUCACUCUCAGCUCUGUUCUCAGAAUUGGAGGUGAGACAUUGAGAGUCAUUUUUCCAUGAAUGUUUAAAGCUUGAAACACUGCCAGUAAACAUUGAAUUUGUGUACAGAUAUCUAAGAAAAAGUUUGACCAACCAGAAUCUCUUAUUGAGCAGUUGAAACUGUUUAACAUGAUUAAGUUAUUUUGUUAACAAAGAUUAAAAGAAAAAUAUUGUCAUGCCUGGGAGCAUCACAGUGAAAACUAUGUUUGUUUACACAGUCAUAUUUUCAGGAAC